GUCGUGGGGCAUCGGGGACGGAGCUUGCUCCGCCCGCCGGCGACCGGCGAAUGGGUGAGUAACGCGUAUCCAACCUGCCCCCCGCCCGGGGAUAGCCCUUGGAAAUGAGGAUUAAGACCCGAUACGCGGCGCCAUCGCAUGGCGGCGCCAUGAAAGAGGCGAGGGAUGGGGAUGCGUUGGAUUAGCUUGCUGGCAGGGUAACGGCCUACCAGGGCGACGAUCCAUAGGGGUUCUGAGAGGAAGGUCCCCCACACUGGCACUGAGACACGGGCCAGACUCCUACGGGAGGCAGCAGUGAGGAAUAUUGGUCAAUGGGCGAGAGCCUGAACCAGCCAAGUAGCGUGCAGGAUGACGGCCCUACGGGUUGUAAACUGCUUUUGCGGGAGAAUAAAGGUGGCCACGCGUGGCCAUUUGCAGGUAUCCCGUGAAUAAGGACCGGCUAAUUCCGUGCCAGCAGCCGCGGUAAUACGGAAGGUCCGGGCGUUAUCCGGAUUUAUUGGGUUUAAAGGGAGCGCAGGCGGAGGAUCAAGCCAGCCGUCAAAUAGCGGUGCUCAACACCGUCCAGCGGUUGGAACUGGUUCCCUUGAUUGCGGGAGAAGAAGGCGGAACUCGUGGUGUAGCGGUGAAAUGCAUAGAUAUCACGAAGAACUCCGAUUGCGAAGGCAGCCUUCCGGCCCGCCAAUGACGCUCAUGCUCGAAGGCGCGGGUAUCAAACAGGAUUAGAUACCCUGGUAGUCCGCGCAGUAAACGAUGAAUGCUCGGGAUUUGGCCCUUGUGGCUGAGUCCCCCAGCGAAAGCGUUAAGCAUUCCACCUGGGGAGUACGCCGGCAACGGUGAAACUCAAAGGAAUUGACGGGGGCCCGCACAAGCGGAGGAACAUGUGGUUUAAUUCGAUGAUACGCGAGGAACCUUACCCGGGCUUGAAAUGUACCUGGCAGCCG
Molecule: ribosomal RNA, 941 nt
Filed under: uncultured bacterium
Lineage: Bacteria
Description: bacterial SSU rRNA
Rfam family: Bacterial small subunit ribosomal RNA
Source: RNAcentral